AGAGUUUGAUCCUGGCUCAGAACGAACGUUGGCGGUGUGGAUUAGGCAUGCAAGUCGAACGAAUGCUGGCUUUGUAGCAAUACCGAGCCAGAGGAAGUGGCGAAAGGGGCAGUAAUGCGUGGAUAACCUACCUUGGGGUUGGGCAUAGCCGUUCUAACGAGCGGGUAAUUCCCAGAGAUUCAGCGGGGCGGCAUCGUCUUGCUGGGAAAGAAUUUCGCCUCGAGAGGGGUCCACGUGCUAUUAGCUAGUUGGUGAGGUAACGGCUCACCAAGGCUAAGAUAGCUAGCGGGUGUGAGAGCACGACCCGCGCCACUGGCACUGAGACACUGGCCAGACACCUACGGGUGGCUGCAGUCGAGGAUCUUCGUCAAUGGGCGCAAGCCUGAACGAGCGACACCGCGUGCGCGAUGAAGGCCUUCGGGUUGUAAAGCGCGAAAGUGGGGAUAAAGCCGAAAGGUUGAUAGAUCCACAGUAAGGACGGGCUAAGUUCGUGCCAGCAGCCGCGGUAAGACGAACUGUCCUAACGUUGUUCGGAAUCACUGGGCUUAAAGGGCGCGUAGGCGGUCCGACAAGUCAGGGGUGAAAUCCUGCAGCUUAACUGCAGAAGUGCCUUUGAUACUGUCGGUCUUGAGGGAGAUAGGGGUGUGCGGAACUCACAGUGGAGCGGUGAAAUGCGUUGAUAUUGUGAGGAACGCCGGAGGCGAAAGCGGCGCACUGGAUCUCUUCUGACGCUGAGGCGCGAAAGCUAGGGGAGCAAACGGGAUUAGAUACCCCGGUAGUCCUAGCCCUAAACGAUGAGUACUAGAUUGUAGACUUACAUGGGUUUACAGUCGAAGCAAAAGUGUUAAGUACUCCGCCUGGGGAGUAUGGUCGCAAGGCUGAAACUCAAAGAAAUUGACGGGGGCUCACACAAGCGGUGGAGCAUGUGGCUUAAUUCGAGGCUACGCGAAGAACCUUAUCCUAGGCUUGACAUGUGCGAAAGCGGCAGGGGGUAGUCUCUUGGAAACUUGAGACGAAGGUAUCCAAUCCUGAACCUGCUACAGGUGCUGCAUGGCUGUCGUCAGCUCGUGUCGUGAGAUGUCGGGUUAAGUCCCAUAACGAGCGAAACCCUUGCUUCCAGUUGCCAGCGAGUAAUGUCGGGGACUCUGGAAGGACUGCCGGUGUUAAACCGGAGGAAGGUGGGGAUGACGUCAAGUCCUCAUGGCCUUUAUGCCUAGGGCUGCACACGUGCUACAAUGCAACGAACAAAGGGAAGCCAACGCGCGAGCGGGAGCCAAUCCCAAAAAACGUUGCCCAGUUCAGAUCGAAGGCUGCAACUCGCCUUCGUGAAGUUGGAAUCGCUAGUAAUCGCAGGUCAGCAACACUGCGGUGAAUGUGUUCCUGAGCCUUGUACACACCGCCCGUCAAGCCACGAAAGAGAGGAGCGCCCGAAGUCGCGUUAAAGUGCCGAAGGCGAAACUCUUGAUUGGGACUAAGUCGUAACAAGGUAACCGUAGGGGAACCUGCGGCUGGAUCACCUCCUU
This 1523-nucleotide ribosomal RNA is filed under the name uncultured bacterium. RNAcentral's name for it is "bacterial SSU rRNA". It matches the Rfam family "Bacterial small subunit ribosomal RNA". The record is from RNAcentral.